UCAUAAUCCAAACUCACAACCACACCCUUCCUCCUCUUCCAUAAUUAACAAUGGCAGCCUCUUCCUCCACCUUGUUCUCUGCCCCAGCCAUCUCUUCCACCAUCUCAAGGAGCCAUACUCACCAACUCUCACCAACCCAAAUCUCCUUCCAAGGCCUUAGACCCCUCACCAAGGCUGCCCCAAGCACCAAGCUGAGCUUCAGUGCACCAAACACCAAGAGAUCAACUGGUGUUGUGAGAGCAGAGCUGAACCCAUCUUUGGUCAUAAGCCUGAGCACAGGGCUGUCACUUUUCUUGGGGAGGUUUGUGUUCUUCAACUUCCAGAGAGAGAAUGUGGCCAAGCAAGGCUUGCCUGAGCAGAAUGGAGUAACCCAUUUUGAGGCAGGAGACACCAGAGCCAAGGAGUAUGUGAGCCUCCUCAAAUCUAAUGACCCUGUUGGCUUCAACAUUGUAGAUGUUCUGGCCUGGGGCUCCAUUGGUCACAUAGUGGCUUACUACAUCUUGGCCACUUCUAGCAAUGGCUAUGAUCCCAAGUUCUUUGAAUGAUUUCAUUCAUUUAAAUCCACCAUGUUGUGUUUCUCUCUUGUGUUGUAAUUUGUAUAGCUUAUUAAUGAAUCACUAGUUGGGGAGCUUCUUUUGUUGAUUUUCAUUUUUAACUUUUGAGUUUACAUGUAUGUGUUUUAUUGUUGGAAUUUGGAAAGCUCUGUUGUGUUCUUUUUUGACUGAGAUUGGAGAGCCUUCUGAUUCUGUUAAUUUGCUCCUUGCUCUAUUCAUGUUCUGAAAAAUCCUUCAAAGUGUAUCUUAGAGCAUCAAGCUUGCAUUAACCUUAAGGCAUCAACACAACAACUACUUGACACAUUCUCUACAUCAUAGUUUUAAAAUACUCUCUCUCCAAAAUAACCCUAUUUUAAUUUUAUUUUUUUGGAUAAUUUGGGCAAAGAUAAUCAAGAAAUUAAGCCAACACAAGCAUAAUUUCUUAACUCAAGUUAGACAAAUAAGGGAAUCUCCAAACCCAGCAAUCUGAGACUUUGCAUAUCUAUGAAUAUAUAAUUUUAUAAUUUGUUAUGUAUAAUCAUAUGAUUUUUGGAACUUGUUAAGAGUUGAAUUUACUAUGCAAUACUUUGUAUUUGAACCCUUCACCACAAUUAAAAUACUAUAUUCAAUGGCAGUUCUUCAUAGCCCUCAAUCUAUUUCGUAUAAAUAAUUUCACAUAGAAUAAUAAAAAUCUAGUUUAAAAUGGUAGAAAAAAAAAAUAAAGGAUAAAACAAUUUUAGAGAUGCUCAAAUCAAAUGUAAUAUACGUCUAUUAUUCUUGUUGUUUUAGUUGGAGCCUGUUGUUAAUGUUUUUGAUAAUAUGUGAACGUAUUAUCAUCUGAAUUGUGCAAAAUCUCCUCCUAUUGAAACAAUGUUGAUGUUUUAAAAAAAAAAUUCUUCUGACCAAGAAAAAAGUCACCAUCUUGAUUUCCCUUACCGUUGGAACUAAUUUUCCCAUAUUAUCUACUUUAAUUUACAAUCCACCAAAAAGGAGGAAAAAGAAAAGAUCUAAAAGGCACAGAUAAUCAUAUUAAUUUUGGGCAGGAAAUACCUUUCUUGACAUUGCCUUCCCAAAUUUGUGUGUUACCAAACCCAUCAGGCCAUCCCCAUUCCCUUCACCAACAAAAAUAAAAACAUUGGUUUAAUUCAUAUCCUAAUAAAGUUUCAAUCUUUUUUUAAUAAAGAAAAUAAAAGGCUCAAUCUUUCUUAUUUUAUUUUUUGAGAAUCAAUAUUUAAUUGUUUGUAAAGUUUUCUAGGUUAGCAACUUAGAAUAGCGAGCAUUAUCCUAUAUCUUAUGUUGAUAAUGGACUAAUUAUAUAAGGGGUCUGUUAUCUUCUGGUAGGUUAGAAAUAGCAAAAAUAAAUCUACCUAGUAUCUUAAUCCAUCUUUACCCUCCUUCUGACUAAAAAUGUCUGAGGCCCCAACAACACCAAUUACAGAAAAGGAGCCUUCUUCAGCCAUUUCAGCUCAGCAGCAACAAGUGCGCACUGAAACCGCUAAUGGGUCUUCCUCAUCAUCCCUCACCUCCACUACCAAGGUUUAUCCUCCGGCCACGGCUAAGUAUGAGGAAGUCGUUCAAAGCUCUGACCUUUUCUGGGAAAAGCUCAAGGAGUUUCACGAUUCUUUCAGAACCAAAUUCGUGUAAUUUGGCUUUGUUCCCUUUUCUAACAGCUUAGAUUUUGCUUUGUUGGGUCAUUUGAUGAAUUGGGUUGUUUUUGUCUUGCUAUUUUAUGUCUUAAUAUGCUAGAGGAAUUGAUAGAUUCUAUGCUUAUACUUUAUAUAUUGCCAUUGUUUUUGCAUGUUGCAUACUUCAAUUGACUGGUUUUAAUCAAACUAUGUUACCUAAUCCUCGGGUUGAAUUGAUUGAAUGGCGAAUGACUGCAUAAUUCUGAAAAUUUUGAACUACAUUGUACAAUCGUUUUGUGUGUUUUUAGCAAAAUUAGGAUCUUUAUCAAGGAUUUAUGAUGUUGGAUUCCAUUACUGGAUGUCUCUAGUUUUUAUUUGAAUACCAUUAUGAAACUUUUAUGUGUGCCUCUUUCUACCUGGGUUUCAGUUGGGGAUGGUGGCUACUUGAGCAAUACAGACAUUUAUUCCAAUGCAGUUCAUCAUUUCCACAACCCAUCUGCAAUACUGGCUUAUAUUAUUAUUCUUUUUUCUUUUUCAUUAGGAAGAUUUUGUUUCUUUUCCAAGAUCUGAAUUUGGCAUUCACCAGAGAUGCUUCAUUCAAGAAAUGUGAAUUUCCCCAAGUCUUCAUUAAUUGUUGGCUCCCUUCCAUAAUUUCAAUAAGUGGGGAUAUAAUUUUUCUCAGAUGUCUACAUUUGAGCUUUAAAAAUUCCAUCUAUGCAGCAUUACCAUACCGAAACACUCUGAUACUGAUUGCGAAACGGGACUGUGUUUGCUAGAUCCGGGAUUUGUGGAGAAAUUAGGACUGUUUCCUUUUUGGUGAUUUAAUAAUUACUACAUAUUUUUAGUAUGCCAUUGUUUCGGUGUCUGUACUUUUGAGCUGUUAUGUCCUUAUGUCUCUUCAUUCUUAUUUUGUGCUCAUGGAAAUUUAAAUUCCGUGUAGGGGGUUAAUAAGUCUUCAAUUGCUUGGUUUAUUGGCUUAUGCUUGCCAAUUUACAUUUGCCUAGAUAUUAUUGCACAAGUUUCUAAGAGUGCUCCGGUAGACUUUGGUGGUUUUGCUACCUGCCGAAAGCAUAAAUAUUUGGGCUGUUUGAUAACUAGGAAAAUUUAUCUGUGGUGGUUGAUAAAAUGCCUGAAAUUGGGUGUUUUGUGAGAUGUCCGAAAGGGUUUCUUCAUUCAUGUCAUGUUUUGUAAUUCAAAUUCCUAACAGGUUAAGAAUCAAAAUAUGAAAUCUUUGCAUGAGAAGGGGGCUACAUAUUGAAGCAUUUAGCUUCACGUUCAUCCGCAGUCUCCCAUAGCGCCCCCCCCUCUUCCUCCUUUUUCUCCCAGAAAAAAGAAAAAGAAAUAUAAAUUCAGCUAUCAAGAGAAAGUGGGUUGAGUUUCGAAGGAUAAUGUGGACUUUUGUCAUGCCAUGAUUCUUUUGAUUAUUUUUGGGCAUCAGAAACCUUUCCUAACCUGCUGUCCUAACUGUAUAACUUGUUUCCUUUCAGUAUUUUUAUGCAUUGAUGAGAACUUAGUAUGGAGGACCUGACUUCAACAGGAUCUGUCCUCUAGGAUCAUAUCUCUAGGAUCAUAUUUCUGAAUCCUUGAGUUCAUGAAAAUUGAGUGUGGAGUGCAGAAAAACAGAAAGUCCAUAGGAUAUAAUUGAUGCUCUUUGUGUAGGAUACCUACCGUAGGAGGAAAAGCUCUGGAUCUACAUCUCCUUUUUGUGGAAGUCACAUCUCGUGGUGGACUUGAAAAGGUUUGUGCAUUUUAUUUUUCUACUUCAUGGUUGUUUUUAUAUGAGAGUCUUGAAGCUGAAAUUAAACUUAUUGCUUGAAAAGUGGAUCUUAACCUCAGUUAUCCUCUAUUUAACUAGUUAGUAUUGUCGAGUGUGCCUGAUAUGAUUUACACUCUGUGUUUUGAACACUAGUUAUGAUGAAUGGGGGGAUGGGUCACAGCUGAGUUUGAACUUUGGCUGACUUAUAACUAUUAGCCUAUUGCUAGUCUCAGUUAAGACAAAAGUAAGUUAGAGGUUUAUGAAAGUGUCCAACUUUAGGUAAGUUUUACCUAUAUUGAUUACGUAAGUUUAGAGGCUUAUGAAAGUGUUCAAAGUUCUCUUUUUCUUUUUAGGUUUUGUUUCCCCUUCAAAUUCUCUUAAACUGGUUACAGGUGAUUAGAGAUCGCAAAUGGAAGGAAGUGAUUGUGGUCUUCAAUUUCCCAACAACAAUUACCAGCGCUUCAUUUGUCUUGCGGAAGUACUAUUCAUCUUUGCUCUAUCACUUUGAGCAGGCCUAUUAUUUCCACAAAGAAGUUUUUAGCAUCCCAGUGCUUGGUACUUGAAGACAUGGCUCCUUGUUAAUUCUUUGUAUUGUUUCUUUUUGUAGAUUAGAAAGAUAUAUAAUUUUCUUUUUUUUUUUCCUUCCCAGAACCUCUUAGCAGGAACCUUUUGAAUGGGUCAGCCACCCUGGAGGAAGGUGCCAGUAGAAACCAGUUUCCAGGUCAGGGUAGGUGUAACCUCCAUUUCAAUGUGAUGGUUUUAGUAGUGGUUGUGUUCAAUUUUUUACACUAAUUCUAGAAGUAGAGUCAUAUAUAUGUAUAUUGAAAUGGAGAUGGUUUUAGUAGUGGUUGUGUUCAAUUUUUUACACUAAUUCUAGAAGUAGAGUCAUAUAUAUGUAUAUUUUCAGUUUGGUGUCUACGUUAAACGGUGAAAGUUUCCAAAUUGCCUUUCAUUUGCAAUCAUAGAAGAAACCUGCAAUUGACAGGUCUUGGAAUCAAUCGUAUAGAAUAGCUGUUUCUGUAACUUUUUGAAGUCGGAUAGUUGAAUAAAAAAAAUUUCUCGCUAAUGAUCGAGCUUUUGUGAUGUCCCUUUUGAAAUAUCUUCUGAAAGUUGCAAUGAAGGAAGAUAAACAACAUUGUAAAUUUUAUUAGACAAUCUGGAUAAACCACAUUGGAAACUUUAUUAGCCAAUCUGUCUUAUAAAUUGAUGACUUUCUAUAAGGGGUUUGCUUUCAUCUUUCUAAUUCUGUAUUAUUAUUUCCUAAUUCCUUUGCCAAUUUUUUCAGCUGGUGGGUUAUGACCAAAUUGUAAUACGGAUCUGUUUUUUCUAUCUUAUGUACAGAAAGCUCAGAAGUGCAGCUUGGCUGUUCAAUCAUGGGAAGCAUCGAUGGGAAAUUUGACCAUGGAUAUUUGGUUUCUGUGAACUUGGGUUCUGACGAGCUGAAAGGUGUCUUGUAUCAUGCUCCUACAUAUGUUUCUCAGAGUUUUUCGGACAUGCCCACUCGACGGAAUCGAAAGAGGUCCAGGUUGGCAUUACGUGAUCCCUCUCGGCCCAAGUCAAACAGGAGCGGGUACAAUUUCUUCUUCGCUGAGCAUUAUGCCAGAUUAAAGCCUUUGUACUAUGGACAAGAGAGAGCCAUCAGCAAGAAAAUUGGGUUUCUAUGGAACAAUCUCACAGAGGCUGAGAAACAGGUAUGAUGAAUUGGUGACAGUUUUUUUCGUGUUAGUUUCUUUUAGCUGAUAGCAUCCCAAAAGUAAUGUCACAUCUGCUGCAUCCUUUAACUCACUCUCUCAUACUUGAGUUCCGGAUGAUUUUGUGACAUGCAUAAAUAUUGAUCUAAGGUUUCAAGAGAAAUUUCACAUGUUUGGACUAUAUUCAUUUCCUUUUGCCUUGAUUCUCAACCUUUCUAACUUCCUCACUGAGCCAAUUUGACAUAUGAUAAACUUGGAGUCUAUCGGCUCAAUCUCCGGAAAGUCUUCAUCAUAACACUCCUUUGCUACCAUGCAGGUAUAUCAGGAAAAAGGGAUGCAGGACAAGGAGAGAUACAGGACCGAAAUGCUGGAAUAUAAAUCUUCCGGCAAUUUAACACAACAGUAGCCUCCAUCUUGUCGGUUAGAUAGGCUCCUGUUUCAUAGGCAUCAUUUUCCUCCCUUGCGUGCUCUUGUUGUUGUCGAAGUAGUAGUAGUUGUUGUAGUAGUAGCUACUCCCUCCGUUUAACCGCCUUUUUCCCGUUUCCAUUUUUCUUUACUAAGGUUACCCCUCAGUGUGCUCGUCCGGAAUAAUUGCGGAAGGGGUGAAAGGGGCAGCUCUGUAACAUAACUGUUGAAUUUACCUUCAUUUUGGAUUAGCAGAACUUUAUUACAGUAAUAAUCUUCAUAUUUCUUGACAUUCCGUUGCAAAAUAGUAAUUCAAGCAGUCAACUUCUCUCUCUUGUGUGUGUGUGGUCAAAGUGAAAGUCAACCAUGAAUUUUAGGCCAAAAGGAGAGAGUUAAAUAUAUGAAUUGGAAAUACAAUUCAGUGCACUGUUUACAACACCUGCAAAGCCUUUACUACAAUUGUUUUGGAUUUUAUUACUACAAUUUUAUUAUCCUAAUUUUUUUUUUUUUUCAAUUUUUUUUUUAUUAUUUUGGAUUUCUAUCUAACUUUAAUCUCAUUGUCACAUAACUUGUUUUAUGUAAUCCACUAAUAAGAAAACUGUUGGCUUAGGAAAUAAAUUCGGACAUAUAUUUUUGGCCUUACAUGACGUGGUAAAUAUAAUAUUUUAUUUACCUUAUUUCCCCUCAAAAGAACCAGGCUGCCAUGCCAUGCUAAUAUGCUAUGCUGUUUCAAUAUUAAUUAAAGGCCAUCUUAAACUUGGUUGGCAAGGCAUGGGGACUUUGCAGAAUAUAUGUUGUUAAAUAUAAACAACAGUGACUUGGAAUUUCAUUUUGAGUGUGAAAUAUAAUUUCACAAAUUAAAAGCUCCAUCGAUCUUUAUGGCUGUGAUGGGAUCUUAUUAUUUAUUUAUAUAUAUUUUUUCUUCUUGUGAAAUUACAUAGGACAACCACCUAAUUUACCUGAACAAGU
Molecule: long non-coding RNA, 6979 nt
Filed under: Prunus persica (peach)
Lineage: Eukaryota; Viridiplantae; Streptophyta; Magnoliopsida; Rosales; Rosaceae
Description: long non-coding RNA (PPER_LNC005606)
Source: RNAcentral